This 253-nucleotide ribosomal RNA is filed under the name uncultured bacterium. RNAcentral describes it as "partial 16S ribosomal RNA". It matches the Rfam family "Bacterial small subunit ribosomal RNA", at positions 524 to 776 of the family's 1533-position model. The record is from RNAcentral.
GACAGAGGGUGCAAACGUUGUUCGGAAUUACUGGGCGUAAAGCGCGUGUAGGCGGUUUCCUAAGUCUGAUGUGAAAGCCCGGGGCUCAACUCCGGAAGUGCAUUGGAUACUGGGGAACUCGAGUACCGGAGAGGAGGGUGGAAUUCCUGGUGUAGCGGUGAAAUGCGUAGAUAUCAGGAGGAACACCUGUGGCGAAGGCGGCCCUCUGGACGGAUACUGACGCUGAGACGCGAAAGCGUGGGGAGCAAACAGG